Anser brachyrhynchus (Pink-footed goose) is the source of this 2156-nucleotide long non-coding RNA. The record is from Ensembl. NCBI's taxonomy places the organism in Eukaryota, Metazoa, Chordata, Aves, Anseriformes, Anatidae.
GAGGAUUUCACCUUAAGAUCGAAAGGGUCGACACAGGGAACGGAAUUUGUAGGGUUGGUGGUUUUUUUUUUUUGGUUAAACUUCACGUGCCGUUUUAUUUAUUACCGCGGCAGGAUGGUUUUUAGUCAAUGCCUUCGUCCUCCUGCCUGGCUCCCUCCAAGAGGGCUCAAGCCAUCGCUGCGUGCUGCCUGGGCGCCUGGUUCCAGGCCGACACAGGUACCGAAAGCGCCGCAACCGCCCUGGCUCUGCCUGGGAAUCACCAGAGGUUUAAACCUUCAGUUACCAACGUGCAGCUUCUUAAACGUUAAUCACUUACAGAGAGAUGAAGUCAUGUGAAAGAAAGGCUGUUUUUUUCACAAACACGGAGUGUUUACGUGCUUAUCUCCAGAUGAUGAUGCCCCCUGCAAUGAGGAAGCUCAGCACCCGAGGUGGUAUGAAGCCACAUGAGGAGCAAAGAGCCAGGCCACUGCAGCAGCCAUCCUGCAUAUUCAUCCUUCUGUCCUUGGCCUUAAAAAAUGAAGGAAAAAACAGCAAAACCACACGUCUGCAAGGAAUCCUCAUUGCUUAACGUAGAUAAAAGGGUUCAAAGUUCCCCCUUCUCCCCCCAGCCAGCGGGAAGCAGCUCAGUAACCACGCCAGGAACUUCAACUGCUCCUCUGGCAGAAGAAACGCUCCCAAGUACCAACGGCAAGGAAAGCCUGUAAUCCAGCCUGGGCUGCAGCACAGCCCGUCACUGAUCAAAGGGCUCCCGCAUUUUCUUUCGGUGUUUUUUGUCCUCUGUCUGGCCGCCUCUCUCCUCCAGCUCCGCGGGCUGGGAAGGGCAACGUGAGCGCUCAGCGCCGCUGCUCUCCUCCCAGCGCCCGCUCCGGGCUUGUCCUCUCUUGUCCGGGCGGUGUGUGCAGCCAGCGAGGCUGGAUGCGAGCUGUGCUCAUGCGCUCUUAAAAGCAAAAUACGGAUCGACCGGGACGGGGUUUAGCUGAGGGAGUUGUUAGAAAGCUGGGGUUUCGCUCAGCACCCACGCAGUCAGCGCGUCGCGCAGGGGGAUGGCUUGCUGCCUAAGCUAGGAGGGCCCGAGGGAGGUGGAGUUGGUUAGGCUGGCGUGGUUAGGAAGGGAUUCAAGGAACAAAAAAAUCGAGAUAAGCACUCACACGAUUCACACCUGGGAUUUUUGUCUGAGCUUGUUCUUGGAUUAAACUGAGCAAGCAGGGUCAUCCUUUGGACUUACUUGGUCCUGUGCCCUUCUCUGACGUUUUCACGAGUUAACUUUCUUCUGCUUUAGCGCGAGCCAGUAGCCUUUCUCUCUGGAUCUCUGGAUGACAGUAAUUUAACGAUGGUUAAACCCAGUGAGGUUUUAUAACUAUUUUAGCUGGCUUGUAGUCGAGUUCCUUGGUUUCAAUGGAAGGUUUAAGCUAUUGGUCCUUUGUUUUUGUUAAAUCUCUUGGGAAUCGGGCAAAUGCAGGACUGUGCUGUAGCUGGCUGAGCCAGGCAAUGCAACUCUUUUUUUUUUUUCCUUACAAAGACAUUUUGCAGUCUUUACCCAGACAAACUUCAAACUCUUAGAAGUGUAAAAGGCAGAAAUACCCAUCGUCGAGCCAGCAACAAAAGGUUAGCGCACUGCAAUUAUUCAUGUAACCACACUGUACCUCAUUUUUCCUUACUCUUAACUACUUCAUUUGGCCAGACAGUAGGAUCUGCAAAAAUGACGUGGGCCCUUGUCCUGAGGCGCAGGAACACGUCAGGGUACCCCGAGGCUGGAGACUGCAGAAGUCUGGGAUGCUGAAUCUUAUCAAGUGGGAAUUCUCCCCUCGCCCAGACCCCAGGCGCUCGCCUGGCCUUUCUCGGGCUCCGUGGCAGGGGCCACCUCGUUACGUGCAUUGCUGGCGUGUUUGCCUGGCUAUUUUUGUGCUCCUCGCUUACUGUACGUGCAGCUGCAGCCAAGUGCUGCGUCUCUAUCAGGGACAGCUGAGAUUUUCCAUAACCUUUGACUAAGAAAUAGCCGCAUCUUUAAUCGUGGCCCCUCUGCACAACAGGUAGCACAUGAGAUUACAUAAAUAUUACUGUAUUAAACACGUUUUUGGCACGUCGCUUGCUUCGGUGUUGCGCUCCUUUCCAAUAGUGGCUGUGAAGAAGAGGGAAUAAAUGGCACAUUCAUACCA